Molecule: non-coding RNA, 977 nt
Organism: Pelobates cultripes (western spadefoot toad)
Lineage: Eukaryota; Metazoa; Chordata; Amphibia; Anura; Pelobatidae
Source: the annotation of a GenBank genome assembly
AGAUGAAUAGAAAGUCUACUUCCGGGUGUACAGAGGAAGAUUGCUGCAAGAAAAGCACAGGCCAUGCUGUGGGAUCAGGAUGCGUUAUAAUGAAAAGGAGCUGCUGUCCCUCUCGAGGCAGAGGGCAGAGAAAGCAGCUGAACUGAAUAUGAAAAACCCAAAGAAGGGAAGUGUUCUGAAGAAGCGCCUGGUAAAAUUGGUUGUGAAUUUUCUCUUUUAUUUCUGGAUAGAUGAAGAAGAGCCCAUUGGAGCACUCCUGCUUGAACACUGCAAAGUGGUUAAAGAAGAAGAGAAAGGAUUCUAUAUAUAAUUUGUUGAUGAACCUGAAAGGAAAUACGCAUUUGAGUGUACCUCCCGAGAACAAUGCGAUGAAUGGGUAGAGGCGCUAACUAAUGCAAGCUACGAAUUCAUGAGGAGAAGUCUUCUGUACUACCGAAACGAGAUUCUCAGGAUGACGGGGAAGGACCCAUUGGAGCAGUACGGUAUCUCAGAAGAGUCACGCUUCCAAAUAGAGCCUGCAACUCUCUGAAGUUUCUCCAUAACAGUCCAUCUGCCUGGAGUAGUUCCUCUCUCAGGCACCCUCUUCUUGUCUUCAGGGGCUGAACAUGCACAUCCACAUUUUCACGUCAAGCUUCUAUGACCGUUUUCCUCCAACAGAAAUAAUUCUUUAAUGAUCAGCUGUUGACAGCGUGUAGUUUUGUCAUAUCAGCCGUAUAUUGUUAGCGCCAUAUGUAAGGCCUGUAUAGUACUGUAUGUAGUGUCAAACCAGUUCAUGCCAUUUGUAUUUGCAAGAUACGUAACUGCUCCACUAGUACACAUGUAUACCCCGUGGCUGCCAUACUGUUCUUACUCUUCGUGACAAGUAGACCGGGAAUACAGAGAUUGCAGACACAAUUGUCUUCCGCUGUUCUAUAAAUACCUCAGUGACAAAGAGUAAAUGGACUAAACUGUGCCUUGACAAUCGACUGAUAAGUUAG